CCGGAAUAGCUCAGUUGGUAGAGCAGAGGACUGAAA
This 36-nucleotide transfer RNA is filed under the name Orthostichopsis tetragona. Its description in RNAcentral is "partial tRNA-Phe". The record is from RNAcentral. RNAcentral also lists the same sequence under 5 other names. Lineage: Eukaryota; Viridiplantae; Streptophyta; Bryopsida; Hypnales; Pterobryaceae.